Sinocyclocheilus grahami is the source of this 290-nucleotide long non-coding RNA. RefSeq lists it as uncharacterized. The record is from RefSeq and is a predicted model, not a curated record. The transcript has 3 exons. Lineage: Eukaryota; Metazoa; Chordata; Actinopteri; Cypriniformes; Cyprinidae.
CCUCAGCAUGCAGGGAGCUAGAUCCCCCAGUUGGGAUAACAUUGGAUUCCUCAGCAGGCAGAGAGCUAGGUUCCCCAGCUGGGAUUGCACUGGACUCCUUGGUAGGCUGGGGGCUGGACUCCUCAGCAGGCAGAGAGCUGGACUCCCCAGCUGGGAUUGCACUGGCCUCCUUGGUAGACUGGGGUCUGGACUCUGCAACUGGGUGAGGGCUGGGCUCCUCAGCAGGCAGAGAGCUAGAUUCCCGAGCUGGGAUAGUGCUAGACUCCGCAAUUAGCAGGCAGAGGGCUAGA